UGAAAGUCCGGCAUGUCUGGCAACAACAUCCAGACUGGGAUCCUGCCUCUGAGGUCGCCAUGGCUUGAACUCCCAGGUCCUGGGACUCCUCUGACUGCCCCCAGAACUGAACAGGACAGUUGAAACAGACCAAAACACAAAGCUUAUUUCCCAGGGUCUAAAGGAGGAGAAAGGAUUUUCAAACAGAGGGCAGUGUUGAGGCACAUGAUAUAACUUAUAAACCUUGAGGACCUUCAAAGAAGAACAAGAGUAAAAGAUAUCAUCAAGGAAGAUAAGAUGGGUUGGCCAUGUGGCAAGACAAGGAAUAGCAAGUGGACAACCACAUUGCUCCUCAGGCAGUUAAGUGACUUGCCCAGGGUCACACAGAUAGCAGGUU
This is a non-coding RNA of Phascolarctos cinereus (koala), 376 nucleotides long. The record is from RefSeq and is a predicted model, not a curated record. Lineage: Eukaryota; Metazoa; Chordata; Mammalia; Diprotodontia; Phascolarctidae.